UGUCGCACAGAUGCCUCUGCACGCUGCAGACGGUGCCUCUCCUCUCCUAUGGACCCUCGUCGGGGGCAGGCAGCGGCCGGGUCCAAACUUGCUGCUGUCCUCGAGGCUGGCACUGCUAUCUCCAGGGCUGGGUUGACUCAAGCCAGACAGGGGGAAGGAAUUGGUUCUGCAGGACAGUGAGAGGGUCUGUGUCCCGGCACCCCUGGGACAGCGCUCGGCUGCCUGUGCUCACUGCAUGAGAAAACUCAGAGGGUGCAUUCUCCCUCUGGCAUGGCUGUGUCUGGGCGCCUUGGGCUGCGGCAGGGGGCAGGCCCCACGUGGGGAAGCCUCGUGCUUGGUCAGCUUUCUGUCUCUCCCAGGCCAGUGACAACUGGCUUCCCGAGGAAGGAGGUGAGGUACCAGGGACCCUGGGCAGGACCUGGUGUCGGGCAGGGCGGUGCCAGCACUGGGGAAGGACAGGGAGCCCUCCCGGAGCCCCACCCUGCACCUGCCACUGGGGUCAGGGAGUGUCUCGGGGUGCCUUUGGGGGCAGCAUGAGCUCCACCAGGGGCCCCGGCCCCCACCUCAGCCUAUGGCCCUUCCCCAUGGCUAAGGUCAUGCCUUUUCUGAACAGCUUUGGCCUUGAGUGCACACAUCUGUGCCAGGCUCACGGCAUGUUCCCGUUGGAUGUCAGGGUCCUUGUCCAAACCAAACUCACAGCUGCCCCUGUGCAGCCUUCAGAGUUGAGCUGGGGUCUCAGUCUCCAACCUGUCCUUUCUGACCCUCCCAUGGCUGCCCAGGGAGGGCGGGGUUCACUGUGCCACGUGCUGGGUGCCCCCCUCUGCAGACAGCCAGUCCAGGAGAUGGACCAACAGAGGUCAAGGGGCAGCUGGCCAGGCCGCACCGGGGUCCCCGAGUUCUGAGCUGUGCUAUGCAAACAAGAAUGCUCCUGUGUGGGGGGGCAUGGCCGUUGGAGGUAUAGCUGGGCGGGUAGUGGAAGGACUGGAAAUCUCUGUUGUUGUUUGGGGAAGUCCAUGCUUCAGUCCUUCGGAGUAUGCGUGGAUUGUUCGAAGUGUGACUAUGGCCCGGGAGCCAGGGCAGCAUGAACUCCUUUCUCUGAAAUUUCGAGGCCUCCUUGGGUUCCCUGAACUCCGGGCUGAUGUUCCCAGGACCCAGCACCAGGAGACCCCAGUCCCGCCAGCAGCCGCCGCUACCCAGGAGGGCUGGGCGACAUUGGCCGCCUCCCACUAGCUCCCCCUCCUCGCCCACAGCCUCUUGUCACUGCCAAGCCCCCGUUCCUUUUGCCCAAAUCACGCAGGCGGAAGCUGCAGUGCCAGCUGGAGGGAUGUUCAUAGGGCUUCCUGUGCCCAUCCCUGCUCCAAACAGCUGGACAGCUUCCCCUCUACCCCCACCCUGGUGAGCCCCUGGGGGCCAGAGAAAGAUGGGGUUCCUGCACCUUCCCAGCUCCACCUCUGAACUUGAGUUAGCGUUAGCUAAGCAUACAAUCAGUGUCGAACGUCUCUCUUCCUUAAGCUUGUAGAUACGACUGCCUAUAAUCAGGGGACUCCCACUGGAGGCCGGGAGGCCAAUGCUGGCCAGGUGCGAGGGCAUGGUUUGGUUCCUUUAGGGAAUUUUUGUUUUGCAAACAGGAGAAACCUGUGCUGCAGGUUGGAGUGGCAGGAACGACUGGCCUUGGUCAGCAGGCAGCCCCCAGCCUAGGGCCACAGUCCUCUUCAGGGCCUGGGCAGCCCCAAUUUCUGGCCCAGCAGGUUUCUCUUUGUAGUGUCUUUCAGCACAUCCAAAAUGCUAGGCCUCCUGCCACCAACGUGUCAGAGCAAUGUCCAACUGUCAGGCUCUCAGAGAUGCCUCAGUUUCCCUAGCAUGAGCACCAGCCGACACACACAGUCCACUGAGAUGAUAAUUCUGUUCUCUCCAAAGCAAAAAGCUGGGCGAGGGGUAGUCUCAAUUUCUGUCAGUGCUCAAAGGAAUAACACCAAAAGAAUCAACACAGAAUCUCCCAGACACACGUGACCCAGCUCGUGGCGCCGUGGGUCCGUAGGAGGGACAGUACCUCACAACAGGCCCAGCGGGGGACCACCUCUCUGUACAAUUGGAAUGCGUUUUACUUUUCUUUUCUCUCCUUUUUUCAUUCCGAUUUUUUUUGCAUGUUUCUUUUUGAAAUGGGCAAAAUGUGUAGCAGCCUGCAUGAGCACAGUUGUUUUGGGGAAAGAUACUGGAGUAUGAUGUACUCACACCUGCAAAUCUGAGCAUCGCGAGGUUAAACGUUCCACCUUUUUUUGUAAUCGUCAACAGCACAACUAUUUUGUAUUGUUGUUUGUAUCAUUUUGUACCAAAAAAAAAAAGGAAAAAAAAAGGGAAGAGAGUUGAUGUUUUCAGUGUGUUUCCAGUGCCAGACAGUCUUGGUCCUGAACUCAGUAGACCCUUGCGGAGCGGUUGUGCGCGGGCAGGCGGGGCGCGCUGCUCCAGAGAAUGAAUAAAGUCCCCCUUUUCCGU
RNAcentral lists this long non-coding RNA (2493 nucleotides) under Homo sapiens (human). RNAcentral's name for it is "non-protein coding lnc-LSM14B-3:2". Lineage: Eukaryota; Metazoa; Chordata; Mammalia; Primates; Hominidae. The record is from RNAcentral.